RNAcentral lists this ribosomal RNA (409 nucleotides) under Escherichia coli. RNAcentral's name for it is "bacterial LSU rRNA". It matches the Rfam family "Bacterial large subunit ribosomal RNA", at positions 1 to 440 of the family's 2925-position model. The record is from RNAcentral. Lineage: Bacteria; Pseudomonadati; Pseudomonadota; Gammaproteobacteria; Enterobacterales; Enterobacteriaceae.
GGGUUGUGAGGUUAAGCGACUAAGCGUACACGGUGGAUGCCCUGGCAGUCAGAGGCGAUGAAGGACGUGCUAAUCUGCGAUAAGCGUCGGURAGGUGAUAUGAACCGUUAUAACCGGCGAUUUCCGAAUGGGGAAACCCAGUGUGUUUCGGCACACUAUCAUUAACUGAAUCCAUAGGUUAAUGAGGCGAACCGGGGGAACUGAAACAUCUAAGUACCCCGAGGAAAAGAAAUCAACCGAGAUUCCCCCAGUAGCGGCGAGCGAACGGGGAGGAGCCCAGAGCCUGAAUCAGUGUGUGUGUUAGUGGAAGCGUCUGGAAAGGCGUGCGAUACAGGGUGACAGCCCCGUACACAAAAAUGCACAUAUUGUGAGCUCGAUGAGUAGGGCGGGACACGUGGUAUCCUGUCUG